AACGAACGCUGGCGGCAUGCCUAACACAUGCAAGUCGAACGAGACCGCCGGGCCUAGUGGCGCACCGGUGCGUAACACGUGGUAACCUGCCCGUAGGUUCGGUAUAACUCCCUGAGAGGGGUGCUAAUACCGGAUAAUGUCAUCGGACCAAAGAUCUAUCGCUUUUGGGUGGGCGCGUGUUGGAUUAGCUAGUUGGUAGGGUAAAAGCCUGUCAUGGAGACGAUGCAUAGCUGGUCGGAGAGGAGGACAAGCCACACUGGGACUGAGACACGGACCAGACUCCGACGGAAGGGAGCAGUGGGGAAUAUUGGACAAUGGGCGAAAGCGUGGUACAGCAAUGCCGGGUGAGUGAUGAAGGGGUUAGGGUUGUAAAGCUGUUUGACACGGGAUGAUAAUGACGGUACCGGGAGAAUAAGCACCGGCUAACUACGUG
This 433-nucleotide ribosomal RNA is filed under the name uncultured bacterium. RNAcentral's name for it is "partial 16S ribosomal RNA". It matches the Rfam family "Bacterial small subunit ribosomal RNA", at positions 29 to 507 of the family's 1533-position model. The record is from RNAcentral.